This 385-nucleotide ribosomal RNA is filed under the name uncultured bacterium. Its description in RNAcentral is "bacterial SSU rRNA". It matches the Rfam family "Bacterial small subunit ribosomal RNA", at positions 355 to 754 of the family's 1533-position model. The record is from RNAcentral.
CGGGGAAUAUUGCACAAUGGGGGAAACCCUGAUGCAGCAACGCCGCGUGAAGGAUGACGGUUUUCGGAUUGUAAACUUCUUUUCUUAGUGACGAAGACAGUGACGGUAGCUAAGGAAUAAGCAUCGGCUAACUACGUGCCAGCAGCCGCGGUAAUACGUAGGAUGCAAGCGUUAUCCGGAUUUACUGGGUGUAAAGGGAGCGCAGGCGGGACUGCAAGUUGGAUGUGAAAUACCGUGGCUUAACCACGGGACUGCAUCCAAAACUGUAGUUCUUGAGUGAAGUAGAGGCAAGCGGAAUUCCGAGCGUAGCGGUGAAAUGCGUAGAUAUUCGGAGGAACACCAGUGGCGAAGGCGGCUUGCUGGGCUUUAACUGACGCUGAGGCUC